UACGUAGGAGGCAAGCGUUGUCCGGAAUUACUGGGCGUAAAGCGCGUGUAGGUGGUGGGACAAGUCUGCUGUGAAAGCGCCUGGCUUAACCGGGCGAGGUCGGCGGAAACUGUCCGACUCGAGGACGGUAGAGGGGGGUGGAAUUCCCGGUGUAGUGGUGAAAUGCGUAGAGAUCGGGAGGAACACCUGUGGCGAAGGCGGCCCCCUGGGCCGGGCCUGACACUGAGACGCGAAGGCGUGGGGAGCGAACGGG
RNAcentral lists this ribosomal RNA (253 nucleotides) under uncultured bacterium. RNAcentral's name for it is "partial 16S ribosomal RNA". It matches the Rfam family "Bacterial small subunit ribosomal RNA", at positions 524 to 776 of the family's 1533-position model. The record is from RNAcentral.